This 509-nucleotide ribosomal RNA is filed under the name uncultured bacterium. Its description in RNAcentral is "partial 16S ribosomal RNA". The stretch from base 20 to 332 matches the Rfam family "Bacterial small subunit ribosomal RNA", at positions 47 to 358 of the family's 1533-position model. The record is from RNAcentral.
GACGAACGCUGGCGGCGUGCUUAACACAUGCAAGUCGAACGGAAAGGCCCUGCUUUUGUGGGGUGCUCGAGUGGCGAACGGGUGAGUAACACGUGAGUAACCUGCCCUUGACUUUGGGAUAACUUCAGGAAACUGGGGCUAAUACCGGAUAGGAGCUCCUGCUGCAUGGUGGGGGUUGGAAAGUUUCGGCGGUUGGGGAUGGACUCGCGGCUUAUCAGCUUGUUGGUGGGGUAGUGGCUUACCAAGGCUUUGACGGGUAGCCGGCCUGAGAGGGUGACCGGGAGCGAGAGGACGGGGACGCGGGGUAGACAGCGGAGGGGGGGAGGGGUGGGGGAGGAGGCACGGUGGACGGAAGCCGCGGGCAGGACCGCAGGGUGGGGGGUGGCGGUCUGCGGGUUGUCACCCGGUGUCGGGUGGGAAGGGGUGGAAGGGAGGGUAAUGGGGAAAGGAGCCGCAGAAAACUACGCGCCAGCGGCCGCGAUAAGAGGCGGAAGAGAAGACGUCUGAAC